GUGCUCGCUUUGGCAGCACAUAUACUAAAGUUGGAAAACGAUACAGAGAAGAUUAGCAUGGCCCCUGCGCAAGGAUGACACGCAAAUUUGUGAAGAGUUCUGUAUUUUU
Molecule: small nuclear RNA, 109 nt
Organism: Sorex fumeus (smoky shrew)
Lineage: Eukaryota; Metazoa; Chordata; Mammalia; Eulipotyphla; Soricidae
Source: RefSeq, a predicted model, not a curated record